CACGUAGGGCGCAAGCGUUGUCCGGAAUUAUUGGGCGUAAAGAGCUCGUAGGCGGUCUGUUGCGUCCGCUGUGAAAACUCGGGGCUUAACCCCGAGCCUGCAGUGGAUACGGGCAGACUAGAGGUAGGUAGGGGAGAAUGGAAUUCCCGGUGUAGCGGUGAAAUGCGCAGAGAUCGGGAGGAACACCCGUAGCGAAGGCGGCACUCUGGGCCGGUACUGACGCUGAGGAGCGAAAGCGUGGGGAGCGAACAGG
RNAcentral lists this ribosomal RNA (253 nucleotides) under uncultured bacterium. RNAcentral describes it as "partial 16S ribosomal RNA". It matches the Rfam family "Bacterial small subunit ribosomal RNA", at positions 524 to 776 of the family's 1533-position model. The record is from RNAcentral.